Molecule: long non-coding RNA, 399 nt
Organism: Neofelis nebulosa (Clouded leopard)
Lineage: Eukaryota; Metazoa; Chordata; Mammalia; Carnivora; Felidae
Exons: 3
Source: RefSeq, a predicted model, not a curated record
CAAGAGUGUGGGUGACAGGCUCUGUGGGGGCAAGACUGAGGACAAAGAAAAGGUGCAGAAGAGCAGCAGGAGAUGAUGGUUACAGGGAACUCCUCCCACUUGACUGUUCUAGCUGGAACAUCAGUCUUUCCUGGCUUUGGACUGGAACUGAAACACUGACUCUUCCUGGCCCUCAAGCCUGCUGGGAUUUGGACUGGAACUACAUCACCAGCUCUCCUGGGUCUCCAGCUUGCUGACUGGAUCUGGGGAUUUCUUAGCCUCCGGAAUCAUGUGGGAAACCCUGGCUCAGAGGCUUUGGGUAACAAUGCCAAAGGCACACAGUUAACGAGCAGUGGAGAGGCACUCAACCACAGGUAAGUCGGGGUCCUGGCCCCUUCCAGUCCACCCUGCUGUUUCUUU